AUGGUGGAUGGGGAAGCGAAGAGUGGUGUUGUGUAUUUCACUUGCCUAGAUGAUGUUUUUGGGCACAUCUGCAAAUUUGCAACAGCAUUUAAACCUCCCAAACAGUUUGAGAUUGCUGGUGUUUGUGUAAUCCCCAGAUGUCCAGUUCCACCCAGUAAUUCGUUAUCCAGUCCAAAGGUAGUAGUAGAACGCAGGGCAAGUCAGUCGGGUUGUAGUUUACCUGUUCAGCCAACGGUUGGCUGCACAAGUAUUAAGCGUAAAACAUCAAGCAGUGUGUCUUCAUCAAAGAAGUUAAAAAACAGUGAUUUUGCUGCAGUUGAUUCAGAUGUGGUUUUUGUAGCUGAUGUUGUGAGUGAAGGGCUCCAGUUUAAUCCACUUUGUGGGGAAGUUGUAGACAUUCUGUGCAAACGGUUAAAUGUUGAGUCAGAGAAAGUAGAUUUAGUUUCUACAGAAGUUGGUCCGUUGGGUGCUCCUUGUCUGAAGGAGAAAAUAGUUGGGGAUGGUAACAGUUUCUUUAGAGCAGUUAGUCAGGCUGUCUGUGGUACACAGAAGUAUCACAGGAAAAUUAGACUUGCAUUAGUUAAGCAUUUGAAAGCUAAUGGUGGUAUUUUGAGAACUGAGUAUUCUUUAAUGGAGGAAUAUCUCAGUGUGUCAAAAAUGGCCUAUGUCGGUAGUUGGGCCACUGAAGUAGAGAUUCAAGCAGCAGCAGAUUUUUUGGGAGUAAGUAUAUUCACUUACUGUGACAAUCGCUGGCUUGAAUAUAGUUGGAAGUACAGACCGUUGUCAAAUCAGGGAAUUUAUUUAGAAAAUUGCAAUGGUAACCAUUAUGAGACUGUUGUUUGUGUUCAGCAGCCAAAUGUGAAGUUUUGCUAUGGGUAUUGCAAAGUGGGUGGGUCUAGGUACAAUUUCAGAGAACGUAGUGUUUGUGCAGACACUUUGACUUCAGUUGCUUCGUCAAGUUGUAAAGCUGAAGUAGAAAUUAUUGAACAAAAUGUAAUGGAACAGCAGUGUAGUACAUUAUCUGUAAAAGCCCAAUCCCCAAAUAAAUUGCACCUUAGCUCAAAUGUUAAGUCUCCGUCUAUGUAUAUGGCAAGGAAAUACAAGUUACAGAAAAAAUCAAAUAUCAGGAAAACAGGCAAAAAUUUCUAG
This 1149-nucleotide long non-coding RNA is filed under the name Dicentrarchus labrax (European seabass). Its description in RNAcentral is "lncRNA (ENSDLAG00005026592.1)". Lineage: Eukaryota; Metazoa; Chordata; Actinopteri; Moronidae. The record is from RNAcentral.